GACGAACGCUGGCGGCGUGCUUAACACAUGCAAGUCGAGCGGUAAGGCCUUUCGGGGUCCACGAGCGGCGAACGGGUGAGUAACACGUGGGUGAUCUGCCCUGCACUUCGGGAUAAGCCUGGGAAACUGGGUCUAAUACCGGAUAUGACCUCCUAUCGCAUGGUGGGUGGUGGAAAGAUUUAUCGGUGCAGGAUGGGCCCGCGGCCUAUCAGCUUGUUGGUGGGGUAAUGGCCUACCAAGGCGACGACGGGUAGCCGACCUGAGAGGGUGACCGGCCACACUGGGACUGAGACACGGCCCAGGCUCCUACGGGAGGCAGCAGUGGGGAAUAUUGCACAAUGGGCGAAAGCCUGAUGCAGCGACGCCGCGUGAGGGAUGACGGCCUUCGGGUUGUAAACCUCUUUCAGCAGGGACGAAGCGCAAGUGACGGUACCUGCAGAAGAAGCACCGGCUAACUACGUG
Molecule: ribosomal RNA, 462 nt
Filed under: uncultured bacterium
Lineage: Bacteria
Description: partial 16S ribosomal RNA
Rfam family: Bacterial small subunit ribosomal RNA
Source: RNAcentral